UGGGAGGGGCGGGGCGCACGCAGGGGAAGCCGCGGAGAUGGUACAAUCCAGUCACUGGGCUCCCAACCCCCCUCCCGUCGGUUCAAGUUUCUGCGCCCGCAGGACGCGGCCUUGGCCAAUCCCAGGGCUACAGGGCGCUUUUAAAAUGCAGUCUUUCCACAGCCUGUAAGUCUGCCUCGUUAUCUUCGGGCUCCCAAAGAGCAUUUACUGCGCGUCUGCGGCGAGCUGGGUCCAGCGAGGCGUCCCUCCCCCAAAACCCACAAGGAGAUAAACCCCGCGUCUGCGACAGUGAACCACCACCGCCUGGAGCGAGCUCCGAUGCUCAACUGCUCCUUCCGCAACUGCACACCCUGUGCCCACCUGCCGCAGGCCUGUGCCACCCCCACCCGCCACCGCCAGCGCCCCUGGGGUUUCUGUCGCGGAUUAGACAAAAGAGGCACGGCCCUCCGGGGGCACUUGGCAUUCUGGGAGGAGGGGCCAGGGGAGGUGAUAAACAAACUAGAUAACUGUCCUAAGUGCCCGCUGGGAAUUAAGUCAACCUGCUGCGGUCAGGUCACCGAGAGCCAGCGGUCACGGAGGGUCUCUGGAGGCGCCUCUAAGCUGAGACUGGAGCAAGGACAGAGACAAGGGGAGGGCAUGGGGGGAAGCAGCUAGUGCAAAGGUAGCCCGUCAGUGGGGCUGGGGUGCACAAUGAGGUCAGAGGUCAGGGGCUAGGAAAGCAGUGGGAGGUUUCACAGGGAGGCCACUUAGCCCAGUAUGCUCUGGCCCCUGUGUGAAGAAGGGAUGGGGGAGGACAUAGCACAGAGAGGGCCCAGUUCAAUCCACCCCUUUCUCCAGAUAGAUAGGCAGGAGAGUGUGGUGGGGAGAUGGUGAGCCCAAGAGGCACAGCUUCUAGAAUUAAACUCCAGACAGAGGACACCCCGCUGCUGGAGCAUGUGUUCUGCUGCCCCAGUGGAGUCUGAGUUUAGAGAGGAAGGGGGGUCCGUCUUGGGCCUGGGGAGGCUACAGGUCUGUCUCCAACUACUCUGGGAGAUGGAAGAGUGAGGGGUCACAGAGACAGUCCUGCACUUGGUGGGAACCUGCUUCCUGCCCUAGGCGGUAUCAGAGCUCUCAGUCUGUCCCCUGACCCCCCAGGGCUGGCUGGCAGUUUUGGCUGAACUUUCCGAGGCAAAAAAGGAAGCUUCCAUCUAGAUGGCAGAGCGUCCUUGGCCAAGACCCUCAAAAGCUUUGCUAACAUCCUCCUGCAGAGCAAAGAUAGGGAUCAGAGCUCAGUCUCCUCCAGUGUUUGACGGUCUCACACAGAGAGCCUGGAACGAGAGCCAAGAGCCGCAAAAGCCUUAAUUGUUAACAUGGCUUCAGCUGGCUGCAGGCCCAGCCCUCCUAGACCCCUCCUGUUUUGGACAACAGCAGUGACAGCAAUUCCUCCCGCAUCCCAGGCCUUGUCCCGACCUGGUCCAGUAAAUGCAGAAGAAUGGGAAGUGGAUAUCUCUGGAAGAAGGAAUCCGGUGGGGGCAGACAAAGCAGUGGACUUUUCAAUCAUUUUAUCUUUGGUGGAUCAGCAGAUGGCAUAAUGGUUACAUUGCUGGACUCCCAUGUACCCGACUGCAGUUCAAG
Long non-coding RNA from Tupaia belangeri chinensis (Chinese tree shrew), 1614 nucleotides. RefSeq lists it as uncharacterized. NCBI's taxonomy places the organism in Eukaryota, Metazoa, Chordata, Mammalia, Scandentia, Tupaiidae. The transcript is spliced from 4 exons. The record is from RefSeq and is a predicted model, not a curated record.